UAACAUACUACAAUCACUCAUGAGCUCUUGGAAAGCUUCAUAUAAUUCUUCUAAAGUAAAAUCUGUAGUUGAGUUUUGACAUACCUCAUCGUCUUCGAAUGCCAUGAAACACAAGUUGGCGGUCUCUUCCUUCUCUUCCUCGGAGGAGGAUGUGUCACUAUCAUCCCAAGUUGCUUUCAACGCCUUCUUCUUCUUCUUUCCAUAGUGCUUCUUCUGUUGAGGGCAUU
Molecule: long non-coding RNA, 227 nt
Filed under: Phoenix dactylifera (date palm)
Lineage: Eukaryota; Viridiplantae; Streptophyta; Magnoliopsida; Arecales; Arecaceae
Description: long non-coding RNA (PDAC_LNC010908)
Source: RNAcentral